UUCGCAAUGCCCGAAAGGGUGACGAAGCGACGCCGCGUGCGGGAAGAAGGCCUUCGGGUUGUAAACCGCUGUCGGGAGUUAAGAAAUGUAAGGAUGUUAAUAGCAUCUUUGCUUGACUAAGGCUCCGGAGGAAGCCACGGCUAACUCUGUGCCAGCAGCCGCGGUAAUACAGAGGCGGCAAGCGUUGUUCGGAAUUAUUGGGCGUAAAGAGCACGUAGGCGGCUAUGUAAGUCGGUUGUGAAAGCCUUCCGCUCAACGGGAGAACAGCAUCCGAUACUGCAUGGCUUGAGUGCGGGAGGGGAGAGUAGAACUUCUGGUGGAGCGGUGAAAUGCGUAGAUAUCAGAAGGAACGCCGGCGGCGAAAGCGACUCUCUGGCCCGUAACUGACGCUGAGUGUGCGAAAGCUAGGGGAGCAAACGGGAUUAGAUACCCCGGUAGUCCUAGCCGUAAACGAUGGGCACUAAGUAGAGGGGUUUU
This 477-nucleotide ribosomal RNA is filed under the name Candidatus Brocadia fulgida. RNAcentral's name for it is "bacterial SSU rRNA". It matches the Rfam family "Bacterial small subunit ribosomal RNA", at positions 365 to 832 of the family's 1533-position model. The record is from RNAcentral. Lineage: Bacteria; Pseudomonadati; Planctomycetota; Candidatus Brocadiia; Candidatus Brocadiales; Candidatus Brocadiaceae.